CCAAGUGGGGAGGUUACGGAGGCGCUGAGGAGGGACCAUGAGCGGAGGAUGUGGCGGAGCAGAUCCUGCGGAAGAGCAUGCGCCGCGGGAGACCAGCCGGCGGACCAUCCAAAGCUCUUGUUAUCUUAGUUGAUUAUCUGAGCGUCUUAUUUAAUAAGUCAAAACUUUCAACAACGGAUCUCUUGGUUCUGGCAUCGAUGAAGAACGCAGCGAAAUGCGAUAAGUAAUGUGAAUUGCAGAAUUCAGUGAAUCAUCGAAUCUUUGAACGCACAUUGCGCCCAUUAGUAUUCUAGUGGGCAUGCCUGUUCGAGCGUCAUUUCAACCCCUAAGCACAGCUUACUGUUGGGACUCUACGGCCCCCGUAGUUCCCCAAAGCCAUUGGCGGAGUGGCAGUAGUCCUCUGAGCGUAGUAAUUCUUUAUCUCGCUUUUGUUAGGCGCUGCCCCCCCGGCCGUUAAACCCCCAAUUUUUUCUGGUUGACCUCGGAUCAGGUAGGAAUACCCGCUGAACUUAAGCAUAUCAGUAAGCGGAGGAAGCUCCUCCCGCAAUGAGGGAAAGCACCCAACUUGUUAAACCAUCCCAGGUGCUCUAUUUCGUUCCCGCACGCGAAUAGGUCAAGGACUGACGCGUACGCCACUGUCUGAUGUGCCACAAGCUAAAUGGCGACAC
RNAcentral lists this ribosomal RNA (668 nucleotides) under Nigrospora sp. TEJ20. RNAcentral describes it as "eukaryotic LSU rRNA". The stretch from base 163 to 316 matches the Rfam family "5.8S ribosomal RNA". Lineage: Eukaryota; Fungi; Ascomycota; Sordariomycetes; Amphisphaeriales; Apiosporaceae. The record is from RNAcentral.